GAUUAACGCUAGCGGCAGGCCUAAUACAUGCAAGUCGAACGGCAGCACGGGUAACUGAAGGGUAGAUUAGUGGCGAACGGGUGAGGAAUACAUGGACAACGUACCCUGGACACGGGGAUAGCGGCGGGCCGCAAGGCUCUUUAGCGAAAGUGCCGGUAAUACCCGAUGAUCCCGCAUGGUCGCAUGAUCGUGUGGGCAAAGCUCCGACGGUCUGGGAUCGGUUCANGCCCUAUCAGCUAGUUGGUGAGGUAACGGCUCACCAAGGCGGCGACGGGUACCGGGCGUGAGAGCGUGACCCGGCACAUCGGAACUGAGAUACGGUCCGGACACCUACGGGUGGCUGCAGCAACGAAUAUUCCGCAAUGGACGAAAGUCUGACCCAGCCAUGCCGCGUGGAGGAUGAAGGUCCUCUGGAUUGUAAACUUCUUUUAUCUGGGACGAAAAAGGGAAUUCUUUCCCGACUGACGGUACCAGGUGAAUAAGCACCGGCUAACUCCGUGCCA
RNAcentral lists this ribosomal RNA (503 nucleotides) under uncultured bacterium. Its description in RNAcentral is "bacterial SSU rRNA". It matches the Rfam family "Bacterial small subunit ribosomal RNA", at positions 28 to 510 of the family's 1533-position model. The record is from RNAcentral.